AGUUGAUCAUGGCUCAGGAUGAACGCUGGCGGCGUGCCUAACACAUGCAAGUCGAACGAAGCAUACGGACUGGAGAUUCGUCGAAGGACUGUAUGACUUAGUGGCGGACGGGUGAGUAAUGUAUGAGCAACCUGCCUUUCAGAGGGGGACAACAGUUGGAAACGACUGCUAAUACCGCGUAACGUAUCGUGGGGGCAUCCUCGUGAUACCAAAGGAGCAAUCCGCUGAAAGAUGGGCUCAUAUCUGAUUAGCUUGUUGGCGGGGUAACGGCCCACCAAGGCGACGAUCAGUAGCCGGACUGAGAGGUUGAACGGUCACAUUGGGACUGAGAUACGGCCCAGACUCCUACGGGAGGCAGCAGUGGGGAAUAUUGGGCAAUGGGCGAAAGCCUGACCCAAGCAACGCCGCGUGAAGGAAGAAGGUCUUCGGAUUGUAAACUUCUUUUAUGAGGGACGAAGGACGUGACGGCACCUCAUGAAUAAGCCACGGCUAACUACGUGCCAGCAGCAGC
Molecule: ribosomal RNA, 511 nt
Filed under: uncultured bacterium
Lineage: Bacteria
Description: bacterial SSU rRNA
Rfam family: Bacterial small subunit ribosomal RNA
Source: RNAcentral